RNAcentral lists this ribosomal RNA (253 nucleotides) under uncultured bacterium. RNAcentral describes it as "partial 16S ribosomal RNA". It matches the Rfam family "Bacterial small subunit ribosomal RNA", at positions 524 to 776 of the family's 1533-position model. The record is from RNAcentral.
UACGGAGGAUGCAAGCGUUAUCCGGAAUGAUUGGGCGUAAAGCGUCCGCAGGUGGCUAUGUAAGUCUGCUGUUAAAGAGUGAGGCUCAACCUCAUAAGAGCAGUGGAAACUACAUGGCUAGAGUGCGUUCGGGGCAGAGGGAAUUCCUGGUGUAGCGGUGAAAUGCGUAGAGAUCAGGAAGAACACCGGUGGCGAAAGCGCUCUGCUGGACCUAAACUGACACUGAGGGACGAAAGCUAGGGGAGCGAAUGGG